UUGACCUCGGAUCAGGUAGGAAUACCCGCUGAACUUAAGCAUAUCAAUAAGCGGAGGAAAA
This 61-nucleotide ribosomal RNA is filed under the name Fusarium graminearum. Its description in RNAcentral is "partial 28S ribosomal RNA". It matches the Rfam family "Eukaryotic large subunit ribosomal RNA", at positions 1 to 60 of the family's 3401-position model. RNAcentral also lists the same sequence under 2 other names. The record is from RNAcentral. Lineage: Eukaryota; Fungi; Ascomycota; Sordariomycetes; Hypocreales; Nectriaceae.